UUAGUAUUACUUAAUAGUAAUUGAGCCAUAUUAACAUAAUCCCCAAGCACUGACAAUGAAUAUCCAACAGACAGGACUGCUGGUCAAUAAGCCGUCAAUAUGUUGUAAAUAAUAUGUUUUAGUAGUUAUAACAAUGUAUCAAAUUGGCAUGCAGUUGAUCGAGCUAAGAAAGUCAUGAAGCUUGGAAAUGCCAUUUCCUGCACUUUCCGGCAC
Non-coding RNA from Paramuricea clavata, 213 nucleotides. Lineage: Eukaryota; Metazoa; Cnidaria; Anthozoa; Malacalcyonacea; Plexauridae. The record is from the annotation of a GenBank genome assembly.